UUAAGCGACUAAGCGUACACGGUGGAUGCCCUGGCAGUCAGAGGCGAUGAAGGACGUGCUAAUCUGCGAUAAGCGUCGGUAAGGUGAUAUGAACCGUUAUAACCGGCGAUUUCCGAAUGGGGAAACCCAGUGUGUUUCGACACACUAUCAUUAACUGAAUCCAUAGGUUAAUGAGGCGAACCGGGGGAACUGAAACAUCUAAGUACCCCGAGGAAAAGAAAUCAACCGAGAUUCCCCCAGUAGCGGCGAGCGAACGGGGAGCAGCCCAGAGCCUGAAUCAGUGUGUGUGUUAGUGGAAGCGUCUGGAAAGGCGCGCGAUACAGGGUGACAGCCCCGUACACAAAAAUGCACAUGCUGUGAGCUCGAUGAGUAGGGCGGGACACGUGGUAUCCUGUCUGAAUAUGGGGGGGACCAUCCUCCAAGGCUAAAUACUCCUGACUGACCGAUAGUGAACCAGUACCGUGAGGGAAAGGCGAAAAGAACCCCGGCGAGGGGAGUGAAAAAGAACCUGAAACCGUGUACGUACAAGCAGUGGGAGCACGCUUAGGCGUGUGACUGCGUACCUUUUGUAUAAUGGGUCAGCGACUUAUAUUCUGUAGCAAGGUUAACCGAAUAGGGGAGCCGAAGGGAAACCGAGUCUUAACUGGGCGUUAAGUUGCAGGGUAUAGACCCGAAACCCGGUGAUCUAGCCAUGGGCAGGUUGAAGGUUGGGUAACACUAACUGGAGGACCGAACCGACUAAUGUUGAAAAAUUAGCGGAUGACUUGUGGCUGGGGGUGAAAGGCCAAUCAAACCGGGAGAUAGCUGGUUCUCCCCGAAAGCUAUUUAGGUAGCGCCUCGUGAAUUCAUCUCCGGGGGUAGAGCACUGUUUCGGCAAGGGGGUCAUCCCGACUUACCAACCCGAUGCAAACUGCGAAUACCGGAGAAUGUUAUCACGGGAGACACACGGCGGGUGCUAACGUCCGUCGUGAAGAGGGAAACAACCCAGACCGCCAGCUAAGGUCCCAAAGUCAUGGUUAAGUGGGAAACGAUGUGGGGAAGGCCCAGACAGCCAGGAUGUUGGCUUAGAAGCAGCCAUCAUUUAAAGAAAGCGUAAUAGCUCACUGGUCGAGUCGGCCUGCGCGGAAGAUGUAACGGGGCUAAACCAUGCACCGAAGCUGCGGCAGCGACGCUUAUGCGUUGUUGGGUAGGGGAGCGUUCUGUAAGCCUGCGAAGGUGUGCUGUGAGGCAUGCUGGAGGUAUCAGAAGUGCGAAUGCUGACAUAAGUAACGAUAAAGCGGGUGAAAAGCCCGCUCGCCGGAAGACCAAGGGUUCCUGUCCAACGUUAAUCGGGGCAGGGUGAGUCGACCCCUAAGGCGAGGCCGAAAGGCGUAGUCGAUGGGAAACAGGUUAAUAUUCCUGUACUUGGUGUUACUGCGAAGGGGGGACGGAGAAGGCUAUGUUGGCCGGGCGACGGUUGUCCCGGUUUAAGCGUGUAGGCUGGUUUUCCAGGCAAAUCCGGAAAAUCAAGGCUGAGGCGUGAUGACGAGGCACUACGGUGCUGAAGCAACAAAUGCCCUGCUUCCAGGAAAAGCCUCUAAGCAUCAGGUAACAUCAAAUCGUACCCCAAACCGACACAGGUGGUCAGGUAGAGAAUACCAAGGCGCUUGAGAGAACUCGGGUGAAGGAACUAGGCAAAAUGGUGCCGUAACUUCGGGAGAAGGCACGCUGAUAUGUAGGUGAAGUCCCUCGCGGAUGGAGCUGAAAUCAGUCGAAGAUACCAGCUGGCUGCAACUGUUUAUUAAAAACACAGCACUGUGCAAACACGAAAGUGGACGUAUACGGUGUGACGCCUGCCCGGUGCCGGAAGGUUAAUUGAUGGGGUUAGCCGCAAGGCGAAGCUCUUGAUCGAAGCCCCGGUAAACGGCGGCCGUAACUAUAACGGUCCUAAGGUAGCGAAAUUCCUUGUCGGGUAAGUUCCGACCUGCACGAAUGGCGUAAUGAUGGCCAGGCUGUCUCCACCCGAGACUCAGUGAAAUUGAACUCGCUGUGAAGAUGCAGUGUACCCGCGGCAAGACGGAAAGACCCCGUGAACCUUUACUAUAGCUUGACACUGAACAUUGAGCCUUGAUGUGUAGGAUAGGUGGGAGGCUUUGAAGUGUGGACGCCAGUCUGCAUGGAGCCGACCUUGAAAUACCACCCUUUAAUGUUUGAUGUUCUAACGUUGACCCGUAAUCCGGGUUGCGGACAGUGUCUGGUGGGUAGUUUGACUGGGGCGGUCUCCUCCUAAAGAGUAACGGAGGAGCACGAAGGUUGGCUAAUCCUGGUCGGACAUCAGGAGGUUAGUGCAAUGGCAUAAGCCAGCUUGACUGCGAGCGUGACGGCGCGAGCAGGUGCGAAAGCAGGUCAUAGUGAUCCGGUGGUUCUGAAUGGAAGGGCCAUCGCUCAACGGAUAAAAGGUACUCCGGGGAUAACAGGCUGAUACCGCCCAAGAGUUCAUAUCGACGGCGGUGUUUGGCACCUCGAUGUCGGCUCAUCACAUCCUGGGGCUGAAGUAGGUCCCAAGGGUAUGGCUGUUCGCCAUUUAAAGUGGUACGCGAGCUGGGUUUAGAACGUCGUGAGACAGUUCGGUCCCUAUCUGCCGUGGGCGCUGGAGAACUGAGGGGGGCUGCUCCUAGUACGAGAGGACCGGAGUGGACGCAUCACUGGUGUUCGGGUUGUCAUGCCAAUGGCACUGCCCGGUAGCUAAAUGCGGAAGAGAUAAGUGCUGAAAGCAUCUAAGCACGAAACUUGCCCCGAGAUGAGUUCUCCCUGACUCCUUGAGAGUCCUGAAGGAACGUUGAAGACGACGACGUUGAUAGGCCGGGUGUGUAAGCGCAGCGAUGCGUUGAGCUAACCGGUACUAAUGAACCGUGAGGCUUAACCUU
Molecule: ribosomal RNA, 2906 nt
Filed under: Escherichia coli
Lineage: Bacteria; Pseudomonadati; Pseudomonadota; Gammaproteobacteria; Enterobacterales; Enterobacteriaceae
Description: 23S ribosomal RNA
Rfam family: Bacterial large subunit ribosomal RNA
Source: RNAcentral